Molecule: long non-coding RNA, 471 nt
Organism: Helianthus annuus (common sunflower)
Lineage: Eukaryota; Viridiplantae; Streptophyta; Magnoliopsida; Asterales; Asteraceae
Exons: 4
Source: RefSeq, a predicted model, not a curated record
GGAACUCUUUCCCUCUCAUAAACCCUAAGUCACUAAAAUUCCAUCAAUUAAAGGCGAAAUUAGCAAGGAAUCGGAUGCAUGAGCAAGGAAUUUUGAUGUACUAAGUGUUCUUAACCUCAAGAUAUGCGUCGUAUUAGCAAGGGAUCAAGCAUGGAAAGCUAACGGGUCAAGAGGAGACAAGGAAGGGAAUACGAAAACGGACGCUCAAGGAUCGAGUACAUCAGAUUCUUACGAAAUUUAAGCCCAACCCGGAAUAAGAGGAUGAGUGAUACACGGACUUCUUCUGCUACUUAGGAAGUGAAGCGGACAUAGAUCGAGUCAAGAGCAAGGAUUGCACGGAUAGAUCGAUCGUAUAGUUGAAAUAUAUAAUGUCUAGAAAUGUAAAUUUUAAUAUGAAUGUUGUGAAUUCUUUUAUAGUACGUUUAACAUUUUAGCUUUUGGAACCUUCUCAAAAGUAAUGUCGUUAACAAG